AAAUCAGAAAGCAUUACCACGUCAAGGAAAAAACAAACUAUCGGAUAUGAUUGAGGCGGUUAUGUACGCCAGUAAAGUAUAACGAUGUAUCCUAAGGUAAAAAAUGUGUUUCGUAAGGUAAAUCGUAAGGUAAAAAAUGUGUUUCGUAAGGUAAAUCGUAAGGUUAAAAAUGUGUUUCGUAAGGUAAAUCGUAAGGUUAAAAAUGUGUUUCGUAAGGUAAUAAAAAUAAUGUUUCGUUGCCUUACGUAAACAUCGGCAUAACCGCUAAUGUCGUAGGGGGAUUAUCAUGCCUUCCUGUGAUUGGCCGAGCAAGACGAGUGUGAGGGAACAGGUAUGAGGGUCUUGAUAGCUUGUACAAUGACGACUAAAAAAGCUGGGCUCGUAUCCUCAAACGUUUCGGGGUCCUGAUGUAACUAUUUCUAACCCGUCCGCUGCGAUUAGCACGGAUUUGGCCUUCACUGGUAGCCUGGUAACAUACACUCCCAGGUCUUUCUCUGCCUCUGUGGUGGAUAGUGGAGUGUUUCCCAUGUGAUAUAAGUAUGCUGGAUAUCCCCUGCCAAGUGCAUGACUACAUUGUUCUUCAUUGCCUUGUAGCAGCCACUUUUUGUUCCAUUCCUGUAGCUUGGUGUCUUCUCGUAGGAAAUCCUGUCAAUUAACACGGAAGAUACGACAAGUGCUCAUGAUUGCUUCCCCGGUCAUGGCGCAGAAACCUCGGGAAUAUGAAGUUCUCAGUAUCUCAUAUAACUUACAGAAGCUAGUCUUGUACUUUUAAAUGCUUAGGGGUCUUGUUACAGCUGAUUUUAAAGGUGUUACAUGAGUUACGAUGGGUUCUCAAGUGGGUUUUUUUUCUGUUCGUGACGCGGAAACUUUACAAUGCUCAAAUCGAAUUAAACUACCCAUAGAAAUCACUUAAAACUUCCAAUUGAAUCUUUUUAAACAGCAGCUACGGGAAACUUUCAUGAGUGUUUCGCUGUUCAUGUUACAGAAACUUAAAAAAUAAUGCUUCUAUCUCUUGUUAAAACCAUUCUUGAAGACCACUAAGACGAUACGAUGGAUUCUCAUGAUUGUUUUACCCGUUCACGUCCCAGAAACCUUAUCAAACUUCUGCUGGGGCCAUGAAACCUCAACCAUAAAUACAAUAAACCCCAUGAAUAACCCACAAACCACAAGAAACACUCAUUAAUAACCCAUAACCCACAAACCCUCAUAUAGAAACUAGAUAUCAAAUGAAACUAUCCAUGGAAAUACCUACAACUUCUACGAGAGCCCGGUACAAUAGUUUCAAUAGAUGUUACGUACAAAGGUGCUGAAACGCUUUGAGAAUACGGGUCCUGGGCUACACUCUACUGCCUUAGUGCCUUAGAUCUGUAAUUUAAUGUGUCUAUAUGUCCAGCCAGUAUGUAGUGUGUGUCUGUGAAGGGUUGAAGGAGGUGGCUAGGUAUUGGUAACACUGGCACACGGAUGGAGCUCUCGUGUGUGUGUGAAGUUAAAGGAUAGAGAGGAAAUAAACUAGUUCCUUGUUUAUCAGAAUAGGGAAUAGCGAAGAAUGAGUCUUGUUGAAUUCCUUGGUAGUGUUCCGAAAUAUCAGAAUGGUUAAGUUGGAUUAGGAAAGGCAGAUAAUCAGUUAAUUCAUUCCCUGUUAACAUUAUUCUCCUCAGUGGCUGGGAAUAAGGAAAACAAGGCAUGAAUCUCUUUUUCUUGGUAAUUUUCCCGAAUAUUUGAAUGCUUAAGAUUGGGUACGUUACUGGGAAUGAGGAAGGAAAUUAAUAUAUCUUGUUAAAUUCCUUCUUAACAUUCCCUAAUACUGUAAUGCUCAGCUGGAAUAGGAAAACAAAGAAUAAGUUAGUCCAUUCCUUGUUAAUAUUCCCUCAAAUCCACUGUGAGGGAAUGAGGAACAAGGAAUGAGUUAACCUUAUUCUGUGGUCAUUCCCUUUCCAUACACGACUGGGAAUAUGGGAAUCUAAAGUUGGAAUAGGAA
This is a long non-coding RNA of Eriocheir sinensis (Chinese mitten crab), 1978 nucleotides long. RefSeq lists it as uncharacterized. The record is from RefSeq and is a predicted model, not a curated record. Lineage: Eukaryota; Metazoa; Arthropoda; Malacostraca; Decapoda; Varunidae. The transcript is spliced from 2 exons.